GGGGGGAGCAAGCGUUGUUCGGAUUUACUGGGCGUAAAGGGCGCGUAGGCGGUCAGCACAAGUCAGUUGUGAAAUCUCCGGGCUUAACUCGGAAAGGUCAACUGAUACUGUGCGACUAGAGUGCAGAAGGGGCAACUGGAAUUCUCGGUGUAGCGGUGAAAUGCGUAGAUAUCGAGAGGAACACCUGCGGCGAAGGCGGGUUGCUGGGCUGACACUGACGCUGAUGCGCGAAAGCCAGGGGAGCGAACGGGAUUAGAUACCCCGGUAGUCCUGGCCUUAAACGAUGGAUGCUUGGUGUCUGGAGUUUUAUAGUCUCCGGGUGCCGUAGCUAACGCGUUAAGCAUCCCGCCUGGGGAGUACGGUCGCAAGACKG
Molecule: ribosomal RNA, 373 nt
Filed under: uncultured bacterium
Lineage: Bacteria
Description: bacterial SSU rRNA
Rfam family: Bacterial small subunit ribosomal RNA
Source: RNAcentral